Melospiza melodia melodia is the source of this 1051-nucleotide long non-coding RNA. RefSeq lists it as uncharacterized. The record is from RefSeq and is a predicted model, not a curated record. The transcript is spliced from 3 exons. Lineage: Eukaryota; Metazoa; Chordata; Aves; Passeriformes; Passerellidae.
AGCCCCCGAGGAGCCUCCCCGCAGUCUCCUGGCUCCAGCCUCAGCUGCUCCCGUUCCCCCGGGCCCGGCCGGGCUGCAGAGCCACCAUGCAGAGCCAACGCUCUCAGGGGGGCUCAGGGUGGGAUUGUUUGGUAUCUGCAGGGCUGGGAGUUGGACUCAAUGAUCCUUUUGGUUCCCUCACAUCUCAGGAAAUUGUUUUGUAUUACUGAAAUUUUUAUUUUAUUUUUAUUCCCUAAUGAAGAACUGCUAUUCUCAUUCCCAUAUCUUUGCCUGAGAGCCUCUUAAUUUCACAAUUGUAACAAUUCGGGGGGAGGGGGUUUACAUUUCCCAUUUCAGGGGAGGCUCCUGCCUUCCUUAGCACACACCUGUCUGUUUAAACCCAGACUGGGGCAUCCACAGCCUCUGGGAAUCCCCUGGCACUGCCCCUGGUGGGGGCUCAGAGCAGGGAGACUCCACCUGCAGCAGGCUGCUGCCUCCUCCUGCCCAUUGCUCCCAUGGCAUCCCAGCAGAGCCCAGGAACCAGCACGGAGCAGAACCAGCAGCUGCUGCUCCUGUGAAAGCUGAAUCAUCCCUGAAGAGCUUCUAAAAAACAGGAAACCUCAGGAGACACAGGAAAAACAACCUGGAGCCACUUCAACAUCCCCCCAAAGCCAAGGAGCUCUGAGCUAUCCUGCUGGCGAGGCAGAGCUGGCCUGAAGCAUCCGCAGCUCAACAGGAAACGGCAGCAGUAAGAGGAUAAAAAUACCCUGGGUGCACACAGAACGUCUCUGUGCCAGGAUUAGGGAGCCCUGGGACAGUGGGGCCAGAGGGAGCUGGGCUGGGCAGCUUUGGUUUCCCACACACGUGUGAGCCCAAGGCUCCUAAACCACCUGGCCACUGCUGGGAUGGGGAUGGGGAAGGAAGGACUGGGGGACUGUGCAGGGAGAAGCCAGACAUGGCAGCUCCUGGACCCCAAAAUCCCCCUGGGAAUGAGUGAGGCCCCCUCCAGAGCCACCCACUCCUCUGCCAGCUCCAGCACAGCCCCAGCACCAAGGAAGGCUCAUCCCUCCUG